AAACUAGAACUCUCUCUCUUCUCUCUUCCCUCUUCAAAAUAUUUAGAGAGAGAGAGAGUUUGUUUGUUCUUUCGUUGUUUCUGGCUCUUGACUCCCGAGGUUCGGGCUUUGACUCUGGCAACCGGUGGCUCACAAAGCAUCGAAUUGGCCGGCUAUCGACUCUGGCAAACGGUGGCUCCCAAAGCAUCGACUUGGCCGGCUUGUAACUUGAGAGUCAUCACUCAUCUCUGAUAAAUUUCAAUGAUGUUUCGUCAUGUUCAUCCGAUUCAGAGCUUCUUUUGUUUUCGUUGGAACUUGGUGAGACCGAUUUGAUUUUCAAUGAAGAGAUGGUGCGGUUCAUAGCUCUACCACUUUUGAGCUUUAGUUGUACUUGGAUGUUCUAUUCUUGAGCUUCCUGUUCCGGUGAGUAUCCGGUGGAUCUCCGGUUAGAAAUCCGGCAACGGCUUGGAAAUUGGUGAAGAAAGGGAUGACUCUGCUCUUCCGCCACGCGUCCGUCUACCGCUUACGUGUGACACGUUGGCUGUGAGCUGUCUUGAGCCUCUUUCUCUGUUGGAGUUUUAUAUGGCCUUUGCGGUUAGGCUUUAGUUGUUUGUACGUUUGGGCUUUACCUUUGCCUUUUAUUUUAUAUUUUGUACCUGUUGGCUUUUAGCCAUUUAAUAAAACGAGAUGACAAAAAAAAA
Molecule: long non-coding RNA, 680 nt
Organism: Brassica napus (rape)
Lineage: Eukaryota; Viridiplantae; Streptophyta; Magnoliopsida; Brassicales; Brassicaceae
Exons: 2
Source: RefSeq, a predicted model, not a curated record